RNAcentral lists this ribosomal RNA (325 nucleotides) under uncultured Rhogostoma. Its description in RNAcentral is "SSU rRNA". The stretch from base 110 to 325 matches the Rfam family "Eukaryotic small subunit ribosomal RNA", at positions 741 to 955 of the family's 1831-position model. Lineage: Eukaryota; Cercozoa; Thecofilosea; Cryomonadida. The record is from RNAcentral.
GAUUUCUGGUUUAAUGCACCUGGCCCGCGGCCACUAGGCUUGUGAGUGCCGGCGCGCGUUUACCAUCCUUCUAGAAAACGAUUCUGCCAUUCACUUGGUUGGGAUCGCGAUCUAGAUCUUUUACUUUGAAAAAAUUAGAGUGUUCAAAGCAGGCUUACGCCGUGAAUACUAUUAGCAUGGGAUAACACCGUAGGACUUCGGUUCUAUUUUGUUGGUUUUUUAGCAACUGGAGUAAUGAUUGAUAGGGAUAGUUGGGGGUGCUAGUAUUUCGCGGCCAGAGGUGAAAUUCUCGUACUCGCGAAAGACUGACUACUGCGAAAGCAUU